CCUUAAUUUCGUCGAGGAAAAAAAUCACUGAUCAGAUUCGACACAUAUUCUUAUCAUGAGUGAAGAACGUGAAUUUUUACCUGAAAAUGUCCAGAGCGCUGUAAAGCAAGAGCUGUUGAGAGACUUGACAUUCAAAAGCAUAAAAAAGGAAAGCUUUAGGAGAUAGACACAAUAUCUUGAGAUGCCGAUUGAACAGAUUCAUACAUCGAGGAACGAAACGGUAAGGGAAUGAAACAGUUUAUAAUGUUUUGUCGGUAUACUGUCAAGCAG
RNAcentral lists this long non-coding RNA (270 nucleotides) under Mytilus galloprovincialis (Mediterranean mussel). Lineage: Eukaryota; Metazoa; Mollusca; Bivalvia; Mytilida; Mytilidae. The record is from RNAcentral.